GAGACAGCAGUCGCCGCGGUAAUACAGAGGGUGCGAGCGUUAAUCGGAUUUACUGGGCGUAAAGCGUGCGUAGGCGGCUUUUUAAGUCGGAUGUGAAAUCCCUGAGCUUAACUUAGGAAUUGCAUUCGAUACUGGGAAGCUAGAGUAUGGGAGAGGAUGGUAGAAUUCCAGGUGUAGCGGUGAAAUGCGUAGAGAUCUGGAGGAAUACCGAUGGCGAAGGCAGCCAUCUGGCCUAAUACUGACGCUGAGGUACGAAAGCAUGGGGAGCAAACAGGAUUAGAUACCCGAGUAGUCCCUGUCUCUUAUAC
This 308-nucleotide ribosomal RNA is filed under the name uncultured bacterium. RNAcentral's name for it is "partial 16S ribosomal RNA". It matches the Rfam family "Bacterial small subunit ribosomal RNA", at positions 505 to 807 of the family's 1533-position model. The record is from RNAcentral.